This 99-nucleotide ribosomal RNA is filed under the name uncultured bacterium. Its description in RNAcentral is "partial 16S ribosomal RNA". The record is from RNAcentral.
UACGUCACUGAUCUUGUACACACCGCCCGUCAAGCCAUGAAAGUGACCAACACCCGAAGUCCGCUUAUGCGGCCUAAGGUGGGGGGCAUGAUUGGGGUU